CCUACGGGCGGCAGCAGUGAGGAAUAUUGGUCAAUGGGCUUACGCCUGAACCAGCCAAGUCGCGUGAGGGAAGACUGCCCUAUGGGUUGUAAACCUCUUUUGUCAGGGAGCAACGCCGGCUACGUGUAGCCGGACUGAGAGUACCUGAAGAAAAAGCAUCGGCUAACUCCGUGCCAGCAGCCGCGGUAAUAAGGAGGAUGCGAGCGUUAUCCGGAUUUUUUGGGUUUAAAGGGUGCGUAGGCGGAAUGCCAAGUCAGCGGUAAAAUCGCGGGGCUCAACCUCGCUCCGCCGUUGAAACUGGCGUUCUUGAGUGGGCGAGAAGUAUGCGGAAGGCGUGGUGUAGCGGUGAAAUGCAUAGAUAUCACGCAGAACUCCGAUUGCGAAGGCAGCAUACCGGCGCCCAACUGACGCUGAAGCACGAAAGCGUGGGUAUCGAACAGGAUUAGAUACCCCAGUAGUC
This 460-nucleotide ribosomal RNA is filed under the name uncultured bacterium. Its description in RNAcentral is "partial 16S ribosomal RNA". It matches the Rfam family "Bacterial small subunit ribosomal RNA", at positions 338 to 795 of the family's 1533-position model. The record is from RNAcentral.